AUGAACGCUGGCGGCGUGCCUAAUACAUGCAAGUCGAGCGAACAGACGAGGAGCUUGCUCCUCUGACGUUAGCGGCGGACGGGUGAGUAACCCGUGGAUAACCUACCUAUAAGCCUGGCAUAACUUCGGGAAACCGGAGCUAAUACCGGAUAAUAUAUUGAACCGCAUGGUUCAAUAGUGAAAGACGGUUUUGCUGUCACUUAUAGAUGGAUCCUCGCCGCAUUAGCUAGUUGGUAAGGUAACGGCUUACCAAGGCAACGCUGCGUAGCCGACCUGAGAGGGUGAUCGGCCACACUGGAACUGAGACACGGUCCAGACUCCUACGGGAGGCAGCAGUAGGGAAUCUUCCGCAAUGGGCGAAAGCCUGACGGAGCAACGCCGCGUGAGUGAUGAAGGUCUUCGGAUCGUAAAACUCUGUUAUUAGGGAAGAACAAAUGUGUAAGUAACUAUGCACGUCUUGACGGUACCUAAUCAGAAAGCCACGGCUAACUACGUG
RNAcentral lists this ribosomal RNA (496 nucleotides) under uncultured bacterium. RNAcentral describes it as "partial 16S ribosomal RNA". It matches the Rfam family "Bacterial small subunit ribosomal RNA", at positions 29 to 507 of the family's 1533-position model. The record is from RNAcentral.